UAGAAACUGUUCGAGGAGUUCAGUGUCACGUGGAAGUUACGACGUUAGAUCUGUAAGAAAACACUCGAGGCGGGAAAGCCGAGCGUGGACGCCUUCGCUCACAAGCGCGGCUCCACAUCUGCUGGCAGCUCUCAGCUCCGCCUCCAGGAGGCCGGAGCUGGGGGAGGGCCCUGAUCAUCAGCAGCCCUGCCUGCUGCCUCCCUGGGAGCCGGAGCCGAACGGUGAGGUCCUUGAGGCACAGGUGGUGUAGUUGCCUGCAGUGUCUGAUGCUAAAAUCCUAAAAAUCAUCAUCUUUCAGGCCAUAUGCAGGAUGGUGAACUUGAGACCAAACGUGUUGUGGGUCAUCUAGUUACCCCCGAUCAAGCUGGAAAUAGGGGGAAAUUCAUGCGACACUCCGGAGUCGUAAGCAGGCGCGAAGGAAAACGGAAGCCAUGGAAGGAGGAAGAUGUUUGGCGGAAUAAGUUCUUAUUUGAAACAGAUGAUCCCCUUCCACAUCAGAGGGCCUGGGUGUUCCUGGUCCGAUUCGGGUCAUGUUCUCAGCUGUGUUCGUGCCCAGAAUCCGCACUUGGGGCCUCGGCUGCCACUUGUACUAAAACUUCCAAGAUGCUGCUGUGAAAUCGGGGCUGAGAAAUACCAGGAGAGAUCGAGACGCAGGUCUGCAGACAGAAACACACCUGGGAGAGCUGUCCUUCCCAUUGGUGGCCAGGACUGCUACACAGCUGUCAUCCUGGGAGUUCUCGCUACCAUCCCCCAGAGCCAAAUGUCCUGUAUCCUAUUUCCUGGAUUCUUUUUGGAGAGAGGCAGACUUGAGGUUUGUUCCCCCAUCUCCUUCCUUGUCUACCUCACAAAUAAACCUCCUCUCUGCUGCAAACCUCGGCAUCUCAGCGUUUGUCCUGCUUCACGUCAGGCAAGCAAACCUGGAGCAGGAACAAACCUACUAGAUUGAGCUCCUAUUUUUUUUUCAAGCUUUAAUUCCUAUUUCCUAUCUCUUUGUCUUUUCCUUAUACUUUCUGGGGCAUUGGCUCAAUUAUUGAAUUUUUUUAUUUAUAAUAACGCAUUUGCAAUUUCCAAAAAUUCUUUAUUUCUGAAUGUGAUGUUUGUAAUAUUUAGUUCUUUUUUUCCAAUUUCUUAUCUCUCUGUGGAUAUUAGUUCUAGCAUUAUCUUUUAAAAAUUUUUUAAAAAAUUCUCUGUUCAUCCCAGUUCUCUUUUCCUGUUUGUUUUAUUCUGACCUUUGGGUUAGAGGCUCUAAUCAAAUGUUCUGUGGCUUUUAACUAGUCAUAAUUAAGUGUAAAGCACCACAAAGCUUGUUGGAAGCUGCAUGUAUUGGGCAGUUUGUAAACUGGUGGUCCUCCCUUUAGGGUGUCCAUGUGGCAACAUGGUCAUUUUAUUGAAGGGCCGGGAAAAUCUUGAGGUGGUGGUGGGGAGCUUGUGUGUGCAGCCCAGCCCGCUGUGUUUAACUGAAAACUGUAGCCAGCUUUUAACACGAAUGGUGAGAAGCUAGUCAACAAAACGAAAAAUAACUGAUUACAUUGAUGGCUGGAGUCAUCUCUCCAGGACAGUUCUUCUAUAAAAACGUCAACUUUUUAUCUGAACGCAAGUACCCAUGCAAGCUGUUUCACUGACAGGCACGUUCCCAAGGUGUUAUCAGAACAUAUGUUCACUGUGCACGUUUGUCUUUUCCACGUGAUCUGAAGGAAAAAGAGCAACAACGGAUGGAAAGGCCAGCUGUCUGCGCGCUGGGAUGUGGAAUUGUGCCAUGAGAGCGUGGGUCCGUACUGUUUACAGAAGAGCAC
Vicugna pacos (alpaca) is the source of this 1793-nucleotide non-coding RNA. Lineage: Eukaryota; Metazoa; Chordata; Mammalia; Artiodactyla; Camelidae. The record is from RefSeq and is a predicted model, not a curated record.